This is a long non-coding RNA of Homo sapiens (human), 1637 nucleotides long. Ensembl annotates it as long intergenic non-protein coding RNA 298. The record is from Ensembl. NCBI's taxonomy places the organism in Eukaryota, Metazoa, Chordata, Mammalia, Primates, Hominidae.
CUGGACCAGGAGCAUGUGCUGGGGGCUUGCUUUCCGCAAUCAGGCACUUUUUCAAGUUGGUCCUGAACGGUUCUGGACUGGAUGGCAGGCUGCUGUGUGUGAUUGAGAAUGUUGCCUGUCUGAGCCCUGAGAUGAGCUGAGGGUUCCUCCUCCCCAGCCAGCACCAGCCUCACACAGCCCUUGUAAAUCUGAAAGUGCUGUUGGUAGCAACCAGGGAUGGGCAGAGGCAGCCCUGUCCUGAGGGUGACAUGAAAGUGAGAGCAAGCUGAAGCUCCAGUUGGCUUAGUCUUCAAAAGUGUCACUUUCAGAUUAUAUCCCUCAGCUUUAAAAUAUCCUUCUUUGAAGUCCAUCCUGCUCUGCCCACUAUUUGUCCCCGGUGGUCACUUCCUCCUCUGUGCUCCCGUGGCCUGGGAUUCACACCAGGAAAGAACGCCACGAAGAAGGAAUGACAAGAAAAUGGAGGCAAAGAACAUUGGAGUCACUCCCUGGCUACACACACUGAGGUGAUAACCAAGGUGCUCAAAAAGGGCCGGUGUGCCGCAGUGAGUGCCAGUUUGAAUGAAGGAAGCAUGCGUGGCCUGAAGCCUCACCGUGUUCCAGGCGUCCAGUUAAGUGCUCUGCACAUAAUAUCACACAUUGCGCUCCACGAUAAGAACAAAUUCUCACAUGGGAACCGAGCAAAGUGUAAUGGAUGUUCCCAGGAGCUGCCUAUGGGAUUCAAGAAAACUGUAUGAGAGGAGUAACAUUUGGGCUGGAAGCGAAAAUACAAGUAAACAUAUGUCAAAUGGCAUGGGCUCAGCUCAGCACAGCUGCUUGGGAAGCCAGAGUAAUGAAGGUCCCACCAUCCUGAGGCUGCUCCAAAGGCAACGUGUGUUUUUCCUGGGCACAGCAUUACAACAUAGGGUCUGGAAAGCAAUCCUCCACAGAAAGAAAGCAGAAUCUUCUGGGCAUUUCUGAGCAAGUGGACUUCCUUCAGCUGAGCACAGUCCUCAGGAGAAGCGGACAGGUGCAAAGUGUUGGAAGCCAACACUCACAGCAGUUGGGGGUUGGAGUGCUCUGGCUUCCAACAGCAUUGAAACCAACAGCAUUGACUACAGCGAGUUUCUCAAUCUUCAGAACACAUCCCAGCCUCCCUGGGGGCUGCUAAUGCACAGAUUGCCGUUUCCCACUCCAAGAGUUUCUGAUUCCAGAGGUCUGGGGUAGGGCUCGAUAAUUUGUUCUUCUAACCACCUAAUGCUGUUGGUCCAGUGACCACACUUUGAGAAAUGCUGUACUAUGUUUUCUCAUAUAUUUAAAAAUUCUCACCUCAUUUAUGGUUUAAAACUUCUAGAACAAUUCUGAAUAGUUUUUGUAAUAGUGAGCCUCACUUUCCUGUCUCUGCCCUUAAUGGGAAUGUCUCUAAUGAUUCACCUUUCAUACGGGGACUUGUUGUGGUUUACUGGGCAAUUCCUUUUGGCAGGUUAAAAAAAUUCCCUCUGUUUCAAGCUAAAGCCAUUUACCAGGAAGAGACGCUAAGUUUUAUCAGAGGGUUUUUCCAGUAACUAUUGUGAUAAUCAUGGUUUUUUUUCCUAUUUAUUACGAUAUCAAACAUGAAACUUAUUUGAAGUCCUGGAUUAAACGGUGCUUGUUUUCUAUAA